Molecule: long non-coding RNA, 1980 nt
Organism: Folsomia candida
Lineage: Eukaryota; Metazoa; Arthropoda; Collembola; Entomobryomorpha; Isotomidae
Exons: 5
Source: RefSeq, a predicted model, not a curated record
GGAAAUACUAGUCCUUCCUGCGUGGGAUAUUGUCAACUUUCUUUUUAAAUAGCUGGCCGAAGUCUUAAGAAAAUAUCAUGUAAAAGUUUUGUCCUUAAACCACGCAAAGCCUUGGGAUCUCGAGAAGUAUGCCCAUACAUAUACAUGUACAUAUGCAUACUCAUGUAUUAGAAGGAUGAUGGGAUUUCCUUAACCUCGUCGUAAUCACCACCUUCCAUUUUCUUUUCGCCAGGAAGCUUUCCUCGGACCUGUUAAAAAAAGUUAUCUGUAAACCUGAAAUAUAAUACGAAGUCCCGACGUGUUUUACAGAUAAAUCUCACCCAUGAUCGAGAAAAGGUUAUCUGUAUAAACAUGCAAAUAUUAUAAAGUAUUAGUAUAAGCAGUCGCUAAAAUAAUAUUUUGCACACUAAUUAUCUCACCUGGCAUUGACAAGCAGAAAUGAGGCUCAAGAUAAGGGUCCCCAACAAAAUAAAGGCCCCCUUCAUAUUGUGUCGUACUUGUCAUCCAACUUAUCACAACUGGCAAUUACUUUGAUCGCAAGCCAAGUUUUUAUAUAAAACGCCCCAGAAGAUUAUAUUUUUUGUAGAAGAGGUUUGCCUUGCCAUCCUUCAUCACCCUGUUGGAAAUCCUGCAGAUCUUUCGUUUUGUUACUGUUAGUCAUGAAAGCUGAAAGAUCAUCAGAUACCGAAGUGAAGUGGAAGUAUGUGCGAUACAAAAAGACGCGAGCGAAAAUAAAUAGUUAUUGCUCGUGGCGUUAAAAAGAUCAGAUCUAUUAGUUUAAGUGCUCAAUCCAUUAUUGCUCAAAUACAUGAGAAGUAUUGAUUCUUAAUGUUUUCUUAGAAUAGUCUUCGAGUGGGGGCACUACUGCCCACUGGGUAGUAGGCGGACAAAUGCAAUACAAAUAUGUCUGUCUAGUUUGACAGUAGAAUAAUAUGCGUGCAGAUUACAGAUAUUUAUACAUAUGUGUAAGGGCCUUACUAAGGACAGUCGCAUUUUAUUUUUUAUUAGAAAGUAUCACGUGAUACAAUUCGCGUUUUGUAUUGUAUCCUGGAAAAUUCAUACAUACAAACACGUUUGAUAUACAUGUAUAUCAAAUGAGCACAAUACAAUUGAAGUUACCACUGAUGAGUUAAAAAAUUUAUGGAAUAUUUUUAUUUUGAUGUUUGCGAUGAGAAGACGAAAAAUUCCAAAAUAGCAAGCAUUGCGUAUGCAUAGUACGUGUAUCAUCGCUCCGUCGUAGUCCGUUCGAAGGAAACCAUUGACCCACAAACUUCUCAACUAUAUAUUCUUAUAUUCCGAGAUUGAAAUCGUUUGUUUUUUAGGUAAAAUACCUAAAACUUUCCCAUUACAAUUAUCUACACGUUAGGCAGUUCGGGAGCUGAUUGUUCUUAAAGCGACUUGCUAAUUACCCACAUAAAGUAUUAUGCUAUUGUAAGAUGUCUUAUCAUCUCAUCGCUCGACAUGGAAAACGAAAUGCUCUCAAUAUAUAGUAUCACAUAGUUUAUUUAUGUAUGAAUCUAAGAUUCAUAAUCAAGGUAAAAAAAAUGUUACCAUUCAUUAUAAUGAGUGAACUGGCAAAAAUGUUAGCCACUUGCCUAAUGUACAUAGUCAAAUGACCUAUGAUUCAUUGGGAAAAUCAGGCUAAUUAAUGUUUGCUGACCUAUUUCAAAACACGUAUAUAUACAAUUUAUUUGCCAAUUGUUCAUCGAAAAGUGUAGAAUUUGAGGAUUUUCAAACGACAAUUCUUCAGCAAAACGUUUUCUUUAAAUAUGAAGCUUGGAAAUUUUUUCCUCGUCAUGUUACUGGCGUUGAUGAUCGGCACGUCUGCAGCGUAUCCCACCAGAGGUGACAAACCUUCAUGUGCAAGAACAAAGAAAAUAUGGGCUCCUUGGACAUACGCGGGCGCACAAGGUUAUCCAAAGUUCAAUUGGUAAGAUGGUCUAAUAAACCUCUUGUUGACAUCAUAAUAUUGUUGAGACA